AUACGGAGGGUGCAAGCGUUACUCGGAAUCACUGGGCGUAAAGCGCGCGCAGGCGGCUUGAUAAGUUGGAUGUGAAAGCCUACGGCUCAACCGUAGAACUGCAUCCAAAACUGUCAAGCUAGAGUCUGGGAGGGGAAGAUGGAAUUAGUUGUGUAGGGGUAAAAUCCGUAGAGAUAACUAGGAAUACCAAAAGCGAAGGCAAUCUUCUGGAACACUACUGACGCUGAGGCGCGAAAGCGUGGGGAGCAAACAGGAUUAGAAACCCCGGUAGUCC
Molecule: ribosomal RNA, 274 nt
Filed under: uncultured bacterium
Lineage: Bacteria
Description: partial 16S ribosomal RNA
Rfam family: Bacterial small subunit ribosomal RNA
Source: RNAcentral